This 3665-nucleotide long non-coding RNA is filed under the name Mus musculus (house mouse). Its description in RNAcentral is "long non-coding RNA chr4:95097206-95100871". Lineage: Eukaryota; Metazoa; Chordata; Mammalia; Rodentia; Muridae. The record is from RNAcentral.
AAGGGACCGCACCAAGCCUGGAGCCAGGUUUGAUGCUGGCUCCCAUGUUCCCUAAAAGUGAUAAAAUUACAGCAGCAGACAGAAGAUCAGAAACUCAAGAAGUAUGAGCCCUCCAUGAGACUUGGGGAAGCACACUGGCUUUGACAGCAGCCCAAGCCUGUAUUGAGUUCUGCUUCUCCUUAUUACUGAACCUCAGUUUCUUUGCUUGUAAGCAUUGGAAAUGUAAUUGAGGAAAAUACGUUAAAAAAAAAAAGAAAACAUAAAAAAAAAGAGUGUGAAAAUGUAACACAUAGCAUGAGAUCACCAUGAAGAUUGGAUGGGGUGACAUGUUAAAUAUUAAGAAGAGCGAGUGGCACAUAGCGUGCUCGAUUGUUACAGAUUUCUUAAUCAAAAAGACCUAGAUUUGGAUGACAGAGGAAGCACUAACAGCUGUAUCCUGGCUCCCCCAAGGUGCAGGUCAUUUAGAAAUUUCUUCCUUAACCCUCAGUUUUCUUCUCUAUUCAAUGGGGCCAUAAAUGACAGCAACUUCAGAGGGCUGAUUGUGUGGGUGGAUUGGAAGAUAAUCUACUAUUUGCUCAAAGAGCGUGCAUAGUUAACUGUGUGGAGGAAAGCAGUGGCUGUCACUCACAGUCUGUAUUUCACCAUUUGUCAGUCUAGGACGUUCUGUUUUGUCACAUGAGUUUACAAGCUAGAAGUCAUCUUUGUAAAGCACUGACCCCAAUGUCAAGUACUUAUGAGGUCCUUAGAAGACGGAUGCUAUUAUUUCUAGAUCCUUCCUGUUUUGUCUAAGUUCUAGCUCUGGAUGAACGGAUGAGGCAAUUUUGAUUUUCCAAGGUUUCUUUGACAGCCCAGAGUGGGGCAAGGAACAAGAGGGGCCCAUCCACUGGAAACCACAACCUGAAAAUGAACUUCCUUAAUCAGCGUGCUGCAGAAUUCCUACAGCUGCUUCUCCUUUGGAGUCAAUUGGAACCUGCUGGGCCCCCUGCUCUUUUUCUGAGAGGAGCAAAUGUCAUCCCACAGCCAAGAUUUAGAAAUUUGCCACACCGGAUCAGAAACAAAUCCAUCUGUGACGAGGUCAAGGUUCCCCCUAGGCCAAGGCCUUAGCUAUGGAGUCCCCAUAGCCUGCAGGGUGGCCUCCAGCCUGAGGUCAACACUGCCUGUGGGGCUACCAAUAAAUGCUGUCCUGUCCCUAGCUGGUAACCACCCACAUUUCCAUUUCAGAAGGUGAGUCACGUUCGGAUGUGGACAGUACAUUAAAUAACAAUUUUUAGGAUGUGAGUGUCAGGGUUGCACAGCAAGAAUGCAUUUGCUUUGGAAUGGGACCUCUCCCUACGUGCCCAGUCUUAUAAUCUCUUCCAUCUGUCCACAUUUCUGCUGAGCCCCAAUAGGUCCCCAGGGCCUCCCGAGUGGCGAGGCUGCCCUGGGCACCAGUUAGUAGGAGAGGUUCUUGCCAGUGCCCAGGGCUAGGAGAGAAAUCAGGUAGUUGAACAAGCAGCCUGUGAGAAGAGGCCUAACUUGGAAUUUACUAGUUGUGCAGCCACAGGUCGUUCCUUGUGUUCUCUGUUUUAUAUCUCACAUGGAGAAAGGUAAGGAGGCUUCAUGCUCCCUUAGAGCUCUCUGGUACUUGGAUCGUUCACAGAUGCUCAGUGAGUGAAAAAAAUAGCAGCUGCCAUUAAUGAAACACUUACUGGGCUCAGCUCUGUGGGAGGCACUAGUGUUUGCCACCCGCUGAACUGAAUGCAUCAAAGCAAGCAUCUCUGAUUGGUUUUGGAGAAGAAGGUAGAACGGUGGCAUUGGAGCACUUACGACUUGCCAGCUUUUCUCCUAUACAUCCUCUAGAAGGCAAAGCAGGCUUAAGGAAAGGAAGGAACCUGCCACAUUAAGUGUGGAGUCAAAGCAUCCUGCCCUGGUGUGAUGUUAGAAGGACCACGGGUCUGCUUCCCUUGGGUGCUGAGUCUCCUUGGGUGUUGCUCUUACACAGGAGGGCUCAGGCCAGCAGUACUCCUAAGCACUGCUAGGCUACAUAGACAGGAGAAGUGUGAAGGAUCAGUGUGAAGCGACAGAGUUCUGCCAGGGCACCGGUAGAAGGACAAGCUGGGCCCCACACCAUCCUGUUUCCUACAGUUGUGGUCCUGUUGAUUGUUAGAGUUGGUGGCUCCUCUGAGGAUGUCCUGGAGAAGAAGUCCCUGUCCAUUUUGUAAGCUGGGAGACGAUUGCCUUUGCCUGCUCUUGCUCACAGGAGGAAGCAGCAGCAGCCUUUACUGUUGUGAUAUUCGUCUAAGGACUAUGUGCUGUUAAGAGUAGAAGAGCAGAGAGCCUUAGGUCCUGCCUUCCACUCAGGAGCCUUUCGGUCACUGGCCAGAUGAGAUCUGGGUAGUGAUGCAUUUUUAGCUCUUUACCAAUACUUGUCAUAGUUUUGCUUUGACCCUGCACCUUUAAGUGGUAGCUCUGAAGGAUUUCCUGGAAUGCACUUGUGUCUAUAUUUCAGGGUCGGGGUUGGGGCGAGGGGCGGGGGCACACUACUUUUCUGAUUACUCUCACGAGUGCACAGUUGGCUAGCUUAAAAUGGCACACCUGGAGGUGAGUCUGCUGGUGACUUGUCUGUGUGGCUUAUUUCCUACUGGAGGCUCUGAGGAAAGGUUUGAUUCUUGCCUCUCUUUCAUCUUCCAUGGUUCCUGGAUCUUUGGCCUCAGCCUUCAAGUACUCACAGAGCAUCACUGUUAUCUAGCUCUGUCUUCCUAGUGCCUUCUUCACUGCCCAUCCAUAUAAGAACAUUUGACAUUGGAUUUAGACCCCACCAGGAUCCAGGACCAUCUCCUUUUGAGAUAUUUACCUCUAUCUUCCAAAAACCCUCUCCAGAUACAGUGACUCUCCAGAUACAGUGACUGUCACACAUUUCCUGCUGACAAGCCUUUUUGGCCCCAUUCAACUCGUCACAAGGGUCAAGAAUAACAGAACAAACAAGAUGUGACUAAUUGCACGUUGUAAGGAGUGAGCAAAAAAUGCUUACAAAGGUAUAGAGUGGCUUCAAAUCCUUACUACUUAAGAGUUCAAUAUGCAAUUAUUGACUGAAUAACUGAAGAAAGUGUGCCUCGCAUAGUGGUGCAUAGUGUGUUUUCUUCCUCUGGCUUAAAAUUUUUGUCUUCCUUCUCCAUUUCUUCCACCUUAUUUAUUCAGCGUGCUCUGAGGUCCUACUGUGUGCUGGGUUUUUAAUUCUAGAUAUGGAGGGCACUGUAGAGAGUAGGCAAAAAGUUUGAUUUUUCUAAUACGUUUGUGGUUUAACCUUUGUAAGUGUUACAUUGUUACAGUUAUGUGUCAAUUUGACUGAACUUCAGAGCUUUUUUUCUUUUUCUUUUUUGAGUGUUUCUAAGUUAGUAUUUCUAGAUGAGAGCCGUGGGUUAUUUGGCAGACUUAGUCAAGCAGCUUAUCCUCUCUAAUGUGGCUAACACUUCUCCAGUCAGUUGAAGAGAUGACCUGGACAGAAAAGGGAGGGAGGAAAAAAAAUUCUAGCUUUGAAUAGGAUGAUCAGCCUUUGGGGGCUUUGUUUGGUUUUUAUGUUCCCAUUCAUAGUGUAUCAAUGACACUUCCUGGGAUCUUGGGCCAGCCAGCCCUGGACUGGAACCACAAUAUCCACUCUUCUGUAUUUUGGAAUUCAGAUAUGGAUC